RNAcentral lists this ribosomal RNA (495 nucleotides) under uncultured bacterium. RNAcentral describes it as "partial 16S ribosomal RNA". It matches the Rfam family "Bacterial small subunit ribosomal RNA", at positions 29 to 506 of the family's 1533-position model. The record is from RNAcentral.
AUGAACGCUGGCGGCGUGCCUAAUACAUGCCAGUCGAGCGCACGGACGAGAAGCUUGCUUCUCUGAUGUUAGCGGCGGACGGGUGAGUAAUACGUGGAUAACCUUCCUAUAAGACUGGGAUAACUUCGGGAAACCGGAGCUAAUACCGGAUAAUAUUUUGAACCGCAUGGUUCAAAAGUGAAAGACGGUCUUGCUGUCACUUAUAGAUGGAUCCGCGCUGCAUUAGCUAGUUGGUAAGGUAACGGCUUACCAAGGCAACGAUGCAUAGCCGACCUGAGAGGGUGAUCGGCCACACUGGAACUGAGACACGGUCCAGACUCCUACGGGAGGCAGCAGUAGGGAAUCUUCCGCAAUGGGCGAAAGCCUGACGGAGCAACGCCGCGUGAGUGAUGAAGGUCUUCGGAUCGUAAAACUCUGUUAUUAGGGAAGAACAUAUGUGUAAGUAACUGUGCACAUCUUGACGGUACCUAAUCAGAAAGCCACGGCUAACUACGU